ACAAACAUUCUUCAAAUAAAUGAAAACAAACAUCAGGGAGGGGCAUCUGAGUGGCUCAGUUGGUUAAACUUCCAGCUCUUGGUUUUGGCUCAGGUCAUGAUCUCAGUUUGUGAGUUCGGGCCCUAAGACAGGCUCUGUGCUGACAGUGCAGAGCCUGCUUGGAAUUUUCUCUCUCUCCUCUUCCUCUCUCUCUCUUUCUCUCUCUCUCAAAAUAAAUAAGUAAAAAGUUUUUAAAAAUUAUUUUUAAAAAUCUCAGAAAAAGAAAUAGAAGACACAAAGAAAAUAGAAAUGUUAGAACUGAAGAAAAAAAUUACUGUGCUGGGUUGAAUCGUGUUCUCCAAAAUACCCAAUAUUACAGAAUGUGACCUUAUUUGGAAAUAGAGUCUCUGCAGAAAUAAUUAGUUAAAAUGAGGUCAAACUGGAGUAGUGUGGGCACUAAAUCCAAUAACUGGUAUCCAUUAUAAGACAAUGUGAAAACACAGAAAGAUACCCAGGGGAGACCACCAUGUGAAGAUGGACGCAAAUACUGGGAUGAUGGGUCGAUAAGCCAAGGAGCACCCAGGAUGCCUGGUGAUCACCAGGAGCCAGGAGAGAGGCAUGGGACAGGUUCUCCCUUGGAGCCUCCAGAAGGAACCACCACCUUGGGUUUUGGACUCUUGGCCUCCAGUACUGUGUGAAAAUAAACUUGUUGUUUUAAGCCAUCAAGUUUGUGGUCAUUUGUUACAGCAGGCAGGCCUGGGAAACUAAUACAGAAACCAAAAUGUAAAAUAAAACCACCUCACUGGGUAGGCUCAAUAGAAGGAUGGAGAUAAUGUUUGAAAGGACAGGUGCAUUUGAAGAUAGAACAGUAGAAAUGAUCCAAUCUGAAAGAGAGAGAAAAUUAUAUUUAAAAAGGAUAAAGAGCAAGAACAGAGCUUCAGAAACCUGUGAGACAGUAACAAAAGAUUUAACAUUUGUGUUACGGGAGUCCCAGGUGGAGAGGAAAAGGAAGUGAAGCUGAAAAAACAUUCCAGAAAAGAAUGGCUGAAAGUUUCCCAAGUUCGACAAAGACCUGAACCUACAGAUUCAAGAAGCCGACUGAAUCUCCAGCAUAAGCCCAAAUAAAUCCAUGAUAACACACACCAUAAUCAAACUUCUGAAAACUCAAGUCAAUGAAAGAAUCGUGAAGGCAGUCAGAGAGAAAUGACACCUUUCCUGUGGGGGAACAACAGUUCAGUUGCAGCAGAUUUGAGCUGCCAGAAAGAAGUGGGACAGCAUUCAAGGAGCAAAGGAAGAUACGAAAGAAGACCAUUUAGGAAUGAAGAUGAAAUUAAGACAUUCUCAAAUAAAAGAAACACUAAGAGUAUCUGUUGUCUGAAGACCUACCCUAAAAGAAUGGCCGACACAGUUGGUAGAGUGUGUGACUGGAUCUUGGGGUUGUGAGUUCGAGCCCCACGCUGGGUGUAGAGAUUACUUUCAAAAAAUGGCUGAAGGAAGUUCUUCAAACAUAAAGGAAAUGGUAAAAGAAGGAAACUUAAAACAUCAAGAAUGAAGAAAGAUAAAUGAAAAGAAUGGAAAUACAGGUAAAUGUAAUAGACUAUCCUUCCCCACUGGUGUUUUCUAAAUUAUAAUCAAUGGCCACAGUAUAAAUUAUAACAUAUAACAUUGUCUGAUGUGGUUCUCAGUGUAUGUAGAGGAAAUAUGUAAGACAUUAUAAAAUGGAAAGUAAAGAUCUAAACAGAAGGCUUCUGUACCUCACUUGGAAGUGGCAAAAUGUCGAUACUGUGACUCAUGUAGACUGUGAUAAAUUAUGAAUGUAUAAUGAAACCCCAGAGCAGUCACUAAAAACUCUGCACAAAGAGAUACACUUGAAAACACCAUAGAUAAAUAAAAAAUGGAAUCCUAAAAGAUGUUCAAGUAACACAAGAAGGGUGGAAAAACAGAACAGAGGAAUGAAAAAUAGAGGGAACCAACAGAAAAUAAAAUGGCAAAUGGAAACACUAAGACAUAAAUAAUUACAUCAACUGGAAAUGGCCUAAAUAAGUCAUUUAAAAGUGAGAGAUCUGAAAAACAGAAUACAAAAAUGUGACCCAGCUAUAAGCCAUCAGCAAGAAAUUCACUUCAAAUAUAAUGACAUAGGUAGGUUGAAAGUAAAAGGAUGUAAAAGAAAUAUGCCAUACAAACAUUAAUCAAAAGACAGCAGAGCCUGCCAUCUUAAUAUUAGGUAAUAGCAGAUAAAAGAAAAUCACCCGGAAAAGAAGUUACAUUACAUAAUGAUAGCAGGGUCAAACCAGGAGGAAGACAAAGUAAUCCUAAACAUAUAGGCACUAAACUGAUAAAACCCAAAGGAGAAACAGGCAAAUACACUAUCAGAGUUGGAGACUUCCACACAUCUCUGAACAACUGAUAGAAAUACUAGGCAGAAAAACAACAGGAUCUGUAAGAACUUAACAAAACCAUCAGCCAAAAGGAUCUAACUGACAUUUAGAGACUACUCCAUCCAACAACAGCAAGAUACACAUUCUUUUCAAGUGCCCAUGGAAUAUCCGCCCCAAUAGACAAUACCCUAAGUAAAAAAUCAAAACACCAAACCACACACAACCUCAAGAGAUUUAAAAGAUUGAAAGAGAUUUAAAAUUAUACAGUGAGUAUUCCCUUGACCACAGUGGAAUCAAAUAGGUCCAAGUUAGCAACAGAAAGGUGACAGGAAAAAUCUCCAAACACAUGAAAAGUAAACAACAUACUUCUAAAUAAUCUAUGGGUCAAAGUGAAAAUCUCAACGAAAUUUUUAAAAAUUUUGCUGAAUGAAAGUACAAAGUAUCAAAAUUUGUGGGGCACAGCUAACUGGAUGCUGAAAGGAAAAUUUACGGCACUAAAUGUUUACUUUAAAAGGAAGAAAGGCCUCCAACCAACAAUCUAAGCUCCUGCCUCAAACUAGAAUCAGAAGAGCAAAAUAAACCCCAAAGAACUGAAAAUAGAAAAACAAUGCAGAAAACCAAGGAAACAAAGAGCUGCUUCUUUGGAAAGAUCUGUAAAGUUGACAAACCUCUAACAAGAUUGACAAAGGAAAAAAAGAAACAGAAGACCUAAACUAUCAAUUUCAUGAGUGCAAUGGAGGAUAUCCCUGCAGACUCCCAGACGUUAAAGAGAUAAUAAGGGACUACUAAGAACAAUUCUACACACAUCAAUUUGACAAUUUAGAUAAAAAGGACUAAAUCCUCAAAAAGUACAAACUGCCAAAACUCACCCAACAUGAAAUAGAUCAUAAAAACAGCUCUAUAACUAUAAAAGAAAUUGAAUCUGGGGGCACCUGGGUGGCUCAGUUGGUUGAGUGUCCAGCUUCAGCUCAGGUCAUGAUCUCACGGGUUUGAGUUCAAGCCCCGCGUCGGGCUCUGUGCUGACAGCUUGGAGCCUGUUUCGGAUUCUGUUUCUCCCUCUCUCUCUGCUCCUCCCCUGCUCGUGCUCUGUCUCUCUCUCUCUCAAAAA
This is a long non-coding RNA of Neofelis nebulosa (Clouded leopard), 3465 nucleotides long. RefSeq lists it as uncharacterized. The record is from RefSeq and is a predicted model, not a curated record. Lineage: Eukaryota; Metazoa; Chordata; Mammalia; Carnivora; Felidae. The transcript is spliced from 2 exons.